CAAUAGCUAGAAUGGGGAACCAACCUAGAUGCCCUUCAACAGAUGAAUGGAUUAAAAAAAUGUGGCAUUUAUACACAAUGAAAUAUUACUCAGCACUAAAAAAUAACAAGAUCAUGGCAUUUGCAGGGAAAUGGAUGGCAAAGAAGGCCCAGUGUGAGAAGGUGGCUGUAGGCAGAGCGGGACAGCCAUUGCCAAGGAAGAAAUGCUCAUCCAUGGGGAAUACAGGUAGGCCACAGAAAUGAAAGUUUCCUUUGCCGUCACAUCAAUAGGGGGACCUCUGAGGCUGCCACCACUUCUGGAACUGGCCUGUCCAGUCACCACUGAGGACCUCAACUGGGAGAAACAGAAAGCUCCGCAGCACAU
Molecule: long non-coding RNA, 363 nt
Filed under: Marmota monax (woodchuck)
Lineage: Eukaryota; Metazoa; Chordata; Mammalia; Rodentia; Sciuridae
Source: RNAcentral